RNAcentral lists this ribosomal RNA (119 nucleotides) under Pteropus alecto (black flying fox). The record is from RNAcentral. Lineage: Eukaryota; Metazoa; Chordata; Mammalia; Chiroptera; Pteropodidae.
GUCUACACUCAUGUUACCCUAAAAAAGCCCAAUCCCGUCUGACCUUGGAAGCUAAGCAGAGUUGGGCCUGGUUAGUACUUGCAUGGGAGACCAUUUAGGAAGACCAGGUGCUGUAGUCA